This 617-nucleotide ribosomal RNA is filed under the name Vibrio sp. RNAcentral's name for it is "bacterial SSU rRNA". It matches the Rfam family "Bacterial small subunit ribosomal RNA", at positions 379 to 988 of the family's 1533-position model. Lineage: Bacteria; Pseudomonadati; Pseudomonadota; Gammaproteobacteria; Vibrionales; Vibrionaceae. The record is from RNAcentral.
CAGCCUGAUGCAGCCAUGCCGCGUGUAUGAAGAAGGCCUUCGGGUUGUAAAGUACUUUCAGCAGUGAGGAAGGUGGUGUCGUUAAUAGCGGCAUCAUUUGACGUUAGCUGCAGAAGAAGCACCGGCUAACUCCGUGCCAGCAGCCGCGGUAAUACGGAGGGUGCGAGCGUUAAUCGGAAUUACUGGGCGUAAAGCGCAUGCAGGUGGUUUGUUAAGUCAGAUGUGAAAGCCCGGGGCUCAACCUCGGAAUUGCAUUUGAAACUGGCAGACUAGAGUACUGUAGAGGGGGGUAGAAUUUCAGGUGUAGCGGUGAAAUGCGUAGAGAUCUGAAGGAAUACCGGUGGCGAAGGCGGCCCCCUGGACAGAUACUGACACUCAGAUGCGAAAGCGUGGGGAGCAAACAGGAUUAGAUACCCUGGUAGUCCACGCCGUAAACGAUGUCUACUUGGAGGUUGUGGCCUUGAGCCGUGGCUUUCGGAGCUAACGCGUUAAGUAGACCGCCUGGGGAGUACGGUCGCAAGAUUAAAACUCAAAUGAAUUGACGGGGGCCCGCACAAGCGGUGGAGCAUGUGGUUUAAUUCGAUGCAACGCGAAGAACCUUACCUACUCUUGACAUC